This 253-nucleotide ribosomal RNA is filed under the name uncultured bacterium. RNAcentral's name for it is "partial 16S ribosomal RNA". It matches the Rfam family "Bacterial small subunit ribosomal RNA", at positions 524 to 776 of the family's 1533-position model. The record is from RNAcentral.
UACGUAGGCAGCAAGCGUUGUUCGGAGUUACUGGGCGUAAAGGGUGCGUAGGCGGUCCUAUAAGUAUGGUGUGAAAUCUCCCGGCUUAACUGGGAGGGUGCGCUAUAGACUGUGGGACUAGAGUGUGGGAGAGGAAAAUGGAAUUCCUGGUGUAGCGGUGAAAUGCGUAGAUAUCAGGAGGAACACCAAUAGCGAAGGCAGCUCGCUGGGACGUUACUGACACUGAGGCGCGAAAGCGUGGGGAGCGAACAGG